UAGAUGCGAGAGUAGUGCAUAUCAAUAAGCGGAGGAAAAGAAACUAACAAGGAUUCCCUUAGUAACGGCGAGUGAAGCGGGAAGAGCUCAAAUUUGAAAUCUUCAAGGUUCUACCUUGACGAAUUGUAGUUUAAAGAAGUGUUUUCUGUUAGAUGAGUAGCAAAAGUUCCUUGGAGUGGGACAUCAUAGAGGGUGAGAAUCCCGUAUUUGGUUAUUCAUUCUAGCUUUGUGAUACACUUUCAAAGAGUCGGAUUGUUUGGGAAUGCAGUCCAAAAUGGGUGGUAAAUUUCAUCUAAAGCUAAAUAUUGGCGAGAGACCGAUAGCGAACAAGUACCGUGAGGGAAAGAUGAAAAGAACUUUGAAAAGAGAGUUAAACAGUACGUGAAAUUGUCAAAAGGGAAGCGUUUGACACCAGUGUUGUUUUUCCGAAAAUCAAUUACGAAUGGCUUGAUUUUGUGUUGUAUUGACCUUAUCAGCUUUCUGCACUUUUUUUCGAGUCUUUCUUAAUGCACUUUUCGGUUAACAAGUCAACAUCAAUUUCUUUUGUUGUAAAAGAGUAUUCGGAAGGUGGCUUUCUUUUCGGAGAAAGUGUUUAUAGCCCUAUACUUCUACAAUCGGAGAGAUUGAGGUCUGCAGCGUAGAUCCUUCGGGGUUAGAUACACUUUGUGCUAAGUUGUAGCUUUUCAUAGACAACUUGUUGACUAUGUUUAGUCAUGCGGCUUACUCGCUUAUGCUAUUUUACCUACGCUUAGGAUGUUGAGCGCAUGUCUCUCUCU
This 776-nucleotide ribosomal RNA is filed under the name uncultured Neocallimastigales. Its description in RNAcentral is "partial large subunit ribosomal RNA". It matches the Rfam family "Eukaryotic large subunit ribosomal RNA", at positions 22 to 616 of the family's 3401-position model. The record is from RNAcentral. Lineage: Eukaryota; Fungi; Neocallimastigomycota; Neocallimastigomycetes; Neocallimastigales.